RNAcentral lists this ribosomal RNA (522 nucleotides) under marine bacterium SIMO-1586. RNAcentral's name for it is "bacterial SSU rRNA". It matches the Rfam family "Bacterial small subunit ribosomal RNA", at positions 36 to 538 of the family's 1533-position model. Lineage: Bacteria; Bacillati; Bacillota; Bacilli; Caryophanales. The record is from RNAcentral.
CUGGCGGCGUGCCUAAUACAUGCAAGUCGAGCGAACAGACGAGGAGCUUGCUCCUCUGUACGUUAGCGGCGGACGGGUGAGUAACACGUGGAUAACCUACCUAUAAGACUGGGAUAACUUCGGGAAACCGGAGCUAAUACCGGAUAAUAUAUUGAACCGCAUGGUUCAAUAGUGAAAGACGGUUUUGCUGUCACUUAUAGAUGGAUCCGCGCCGCAUUAGCUAGUUGGUAAGGUAACGGCUUACCAAGGCAACGAUGCGUAGCCGACCUGAGAGGGUGAUCGGCCACACUGGAACUGAGACACGGUCCAGACUCCUACGGGAGGCAGCAGUAGGGAAUCUUCCGCAAUGGGCGAAAGCCUGACGGAGCAACGCCGCGUGAGUGAUGAAGGUCUUCGGAUCGUAAAACUCUGUUAUUAGGGAAGAACAAAUGUGUAAGUAACUAUGCACGUCUUGACGGUACCUAAUCAGAAAGCCACGGCUAACUACGUGCCAGCAGCCGCGGUAAUACGUAGGUGGCAAGU